This 532-nucleotide ribosomal RNA is filed under the name uncultured bacterium. Its description in RNAcentral is "bacterial SSU rRNA". It matches the Rfam family "Bacterial small subunit ribosomal RNA", at positions 977 to 1509 of the family's 1533-position model. The record is from RNAcentral.
GGCCUUGACAUACUAAGAACUUUCCAGAGAUGGAUUGGUGCCUUCGGGAACUUAGAUACAGGUGCUGCAUGGCUGUCGUCAGCUCGUGUCGUGAGAUGUUGGGUUAAGUCCGCAACGAGCGCAACCCUUUUCCUUAUUUGCCAGCGGGUCAUGCCGGGAACUUUAAGGAUACUGCCAGUGACAAACUGGAGGAAGGCGGGGACGACGUCAAGUCAUCAUGGCCCUUACGGCCAGGGCUACACACGUGCUACAAUGGUCGGUACAAAGGGUUGCUACCUCGCGAGAGGAUGCUAAUCUCAAAAAGCCGAUCGUAGUCCGGGUCGCAGUCUGCAACUCGACUGCGUGAAGUCGGAAUCGCUAGUAAUCGCGGAUCAGAAUGCCGCGGUGAAUACGUUCCCGGGCCUUGUACACACCGCCCGUCACACCAUGGGAGUUUGUUGCACCAGAAGUAGGUAGUCUAACCGCAAGGAGGACGCUUACCACGGUGUGGCCGAUGACUGGGGUGAAGUCGUAACAAGGUAGGCGUAGAUGA